GUCGUCGUAGCUCAGCAGGUCGGAGUGCCGCCCUGAUAAGGCGGAGGACGGUGGUUCGAGUCCACCCGGCGACACC
This 76-nucleotide transfer RNA is filed under the name Paractinoplanes abujensis. RNAcentral's name for it is "tRNA-Ile". It matches the Rfam family "tRNA". Rfam says of the family: Transfer RNA (tRNA) molecules are approximately 80 nucleotides in length. Their secondary structure includes four short double-helical elements and three loops (D, anti-codon, and T loops). The record is from RNAcentral. Lineage: Bacteria; Bacillati; Actinomycetota; Actinomycetes; Micromonosporales; Micromonosporaceae.